This 307-nucleotide unclassified non-coding RNA is filed under the name plant metagenome. RNAcentral describes it as "partial contains 5.8S ribosomal RNA, internal transcribed spacer 2, and large subunit ribosomal RNA". The stretch from base 1 to 105 matches the Rfam family "5.8S ribosomal RNA", at positions 50 to 154 of the family's 154-position model. The record is from RNAcentral.
GAAAUGCGAUAAGUAAUGUGAAUUGCAGAAUUCAGUGAAUCAUCGAAUCUUUGAACGCACAUUGCGCCCGCCAGUAUUCUGGCGGGCAUGCCUGUCCGAGCGUCAUUUCAACCAUCAAGCCCCCGGGCUUGUGUUGGGGACCUGCGGCUGCCCGCAGGCCCUGAAAACCAGUGGCGGGCUCGCUGUCACACCGAGCGUAGUAGCAAUCACCUCGCUCAGGGCGUGCUGCGGGUUCCGGCCGUUAAACAGCCUUACAAAACCCAAGGUUGACCUCGGAUCAGGUAGGAAGACCCGCUGAACUUAAGCA